CCUACGGGAGGCUGCAGUGAGGAAUAUUGGUCAAUGUGCGGGAGCCUGAACCAGCCAUGCCGCGUGAAGGCGAGUGCCCUACGGGCGUUAAACUUCUUUUGUGAGGGAGCAAUAAGGUCCACGCGUGGCCCGAUGAGAGUACCGCACGAAUAAGCAUCGGCUAACUCCGUGCCAGCCGCCGCGGUAAUACGGGGGAUGCUAGCGUUAUCCUGAGUUUUUGGGUUUUAAGGGUGCGUAGGCGGCUCUUCAGGUCAGCGGUGAAAUCCCGGGGCUCACCCCCGGGGCUGCCGUUGAAACCGGAGCGCUAGAAUUCCGAUGCCGUCGGAGGAAUGAGUGGUGUAGCGGUGAAAUGCAUAGAUAUCACACAGAACACCGAUUGCGAAGGCAUCUGACGAAUCGGAGAGUGACGCUGAUGCACGAAAGCGUGGGUAUCGAACAGGAUUAGAUACCCGAGUAGUC
RNAcentral lists this ribosomal RNA (459 nucleotides) under uncultured bacterium. RNAcentral's name for it is "partial 16S ribosomal RNA". It matches the Rfam family "Bacterial small subunit ribosomal RNA", at positions 338 to 795 of the family's 1533-position model. The record is from RNAcentral.